AUUGAACGCUGGCGGCAGGCCUAACACAUGCAAGUCGAGCGGGGUUUUCGGACCUAGCGGCGGACGGGUGAGUAAUGCGUAGGAAGCUGCCCGAUAGAGGGGGGUAUACCCAGUUGGAAACGACUGUUAAUACCGCAUAAUGUCUACGGACCAAAGUGUGGGACCUUCGGGCCACAUGCUAUCGGAUGCGCCUACGUGGG
RNAcentral lists this ribosomal RNA (200 nucleotides) under uncultured bacterium. Its description in RNAcentral is "partial 16S ribosomal RNA". It matches the Rfam family "Bacterial small subunit ribosomal RNA", at positions 30 to 239 of the family's 1533-position model. The record is from RNAcentral.